RNAcentral lists this ribosomal RNA (455 nucleotides) under uncultured bacterium. RNAcentral's name for it is "bacterial SSU rRNA". It matches the Rfam family "Bacterial small subunit ribosomal RNA", at positions 340 to 786 of the family's 1533-position model. The record is from RNAcentral.
UACGGAAGGCAGCAGUGGGGAAUAUUGCACAAUGGGCGCAAGCCUGAUGCAGCCAUGCCGCGUGUAUGAAGAAGGCCUUCGGGUUGUAAAGUACUUUCAGUCGUGAGGAAGGUGUUAAGGUUAAUAACCUUAGCAAUUGACGUUAGCGACAGAAGAAGCACCGGCUAACUCCGUGCCAGCAGCCGCGGUAAUACGGGAGGGUGCGAGCGUUAAUCGGAAUUACUGGGCGUAAAGGGCACGCAGGCGGUUAAUUAAGUUGGAUGUGAAAUCCCCGGGCUUAACCUGGGAAUGGCAUUCAAGACUGGUUAGCUAGAGUCUUGUAGAGGGGGUAGAAUUCCAUGUGUAGCGGUGAAAUGCGUAGAGAUGUGGAGGAAAUACCGGUGGCGAAGGCGGCCCCUGGACAAAGACUGACGCUCAUGUGCGAAAGCGUGGGGAGCAAACAGGGAUUAGAUACC